CACACACACAUGCACAUUCCCACAGCCGCUUUUUUUUGUGUUUGCCCGUUUUCAUUAUUUUAGUGAAAUUUGCAUACCACCGACCAGACCAGACCACCAACAACCGAACUUUGACAAUGCAAUUUGAAAAGCCUGACGUUCGUCCGAUCCCCGCCUGCCCUGCCACAUGUGGCUAAACAUUAGCGGUCACUUGUGGGAGCCUGCCCCUUGGACUGCUGCUGGCUUUGCGGCUUUUUUCGGGCUAUUGCUAUGCUCCGGAAAACGUUCUUAAUGAGCCUCAUACGGAUUUUGUGGCUUCUCUGGCUUGAAUCGAUGCAAAGUUGGGCCCCAAACAAUAGGCUGAGGACUGUCCUGGGAUUGGCUUUGAAGAGGAGUACCAGCAAGACUUGUAGAUGCAUAUCAAGUCGUGUCCUGGUCCUUCCUUGUCCACACCCGGCGCAAUUCUAGCACUAGGAGCCCAUUGUUUGCACUCAAAUUAUUUACACAUUAUCUGCGGGCACAGGAGCCAGCCGGAGGACGAGCACAGUGGCCCCAAGGAGCACACACACACACACACACACAUUGAGAGAGCCAGUUGUUAUUUUAAUAGUUUAAGUAACCAUAAUAUGUUGAGGACUUUUUAAUAAACUUGAAACACGAGCAAGCGUGAGCCACAAGGACACCAGAGACCGGUCCUCAGAGAGAGAGGGCAGGACAGGAUAGGGCGAGGAUGUGGAUGUAAACGUGGAACAACUGCAGUCGGGGCCAAGAUUUAUGCAAACCAAAAUGUUGCCAAAAAUUACAAUUUAAUGGACUCGACACUGUGAGGAGAAUGUGCGUGCUCGUGUGCGUGGCGUGGAGUGGCGGCGUGGCGCGGCGUGGCCCAUAAUGAGCAGCGAGAAACUUGCAACAAAAGCCAAAGUCGACAAGACAAAGGCCACAACAACAACGGAAAGAAGGAGUCGUCGUAGGACCAAGAGAAACUAGAAAUGUAAGCAAAAGUAACUUCUCUAAUUUUGCAGGAAAUAUGAAGCCAUUAAAGUGCAGCAGACAAGGCGAAACAUGGCAACAUCUUGACUACUGCGGCACACACAUACCCAGACAGAGCAGAGGCAGAGUAUCCGCCUGAGGAGGAUCCAGCCUCCCCGGCCAUGUGGCGACUGUGUCCUGUAAAAGUUGUCCUCGAGAGUGUGAAAAUAAAUUGUUAAAAGUCGCAGGAGAAGUGAAAAUGGCAACUGGUUUGCAUGUGGCCCCACGACAAACAGGAACUUCAGUGGAACUCCUCUGCAUGGGUCAGGUCGGGCAAGCGGUAAGCAGAGGAAAGAAAAAGCCGUUUAUACAUAUCUUUAAUUGCCAACUUGUCCAGUGACAGGCGGCGAGAAAAAUGAGCACUGUUGAGGUCCAGCGAGGGAUUCUGGGCGACCAGCUGGUGUCACAUGUCCGGCGCUAGCUGCACUUAAUCACUGCCCCGGCCAGCCGGCUGUCGUGGCGACCCGGAGCAGCCGGACGGGCCUUUGCCCUUUGGGGAGUCACCUGAGUGGAGUCCGGGCACUAAGCCAUCCAGGAGAGCACUUUUAUUGGACAGAUUGAGAGCGAUAACGGGAGCUCCAAGCAAUUCGCGAUGCUCCCCAUGCUGCAGAGAUAUAAAUAUGCACCGAGUUUACCAUAGAGUCGGACUGCCCGAUGGAUCGACCGCAAUGUCGAGCUGCACCCGGAAUUAAGUUAAUUUUAAUUUACGCUGAUUAAUUGCAUUGUCAGGCCAGAUGAAAUGUCCUGCGCUGGUGCUGGUGAGAGUGCUCCACUGGAGGGCCCAGUGGCAACCGCAUGCCAAGUGUUAAAUGUCAGAGUAACGCUUUUAAUACAAUUUGGUGGCAGAUUCAAUUGAAACAAGUCAAAAGUGUUACUUUAAUUGCACGAAAUUCUCGCGCUGGUACAGUGCGUUUCGGGUUAAUAAUUAAGGGGGAGAGGGUUCUCGAAUAAGUGUUUUGUUUCUGCCACGGGUGCUCCAUGCUCGAGUUUCGGCAUCAUCUAAUCGACAGUCGUCCACAAAUUGCUGUUUAAGCAGCGCGCAUUGAAAUUCCGUUUGCAUAUCGGCAAUAAUGUCGUACAUUAGGUUGGUUUUUUCCUCUCCCCUCUUCUCAUCCAGCUCUCUCCGGGAUAGGGGAGCGGGGCCAUUAUCUAGCGCGGCGGGAAACACUCAGUUUAAUGGUCUUGGGUGUUCCAAAUUCGGGAAUUAAAUAGAACAUUAAGAGGUAAAGCGCUCCACAGAGAUCCCUCAAUUUGCAUAAACGGCCAGAGGCGGCACCUGAUAAACAGGUGUCGAACAGGAUAUAAAAUUCCAUUCGCUCUUAUUUCUAUUUGUUUCGUCUUCCCUUUUUGUACGUUUCC
Long non-coding RNA from Drosophila subobscura, 2367 nucleotides. RefSeq lists it as uncharacterized. The transcript has 3 exons. The record is from RefSeq and is a predicted model, not a curated record. NCBI's taxonomy places the organism in Eukaryota, Metazoa, Arthropoda, Insecta, Diptera, Drosophilidae.